This 207-nucleotide ribosomal RNA is filed under the name uncultured bacterium. Its description in RNAcentral is "partial 16S ribosomal RNA". It matches the Rfam family "Bacterial small subunit ribosomal RNA", at positions 568 to 774 of the family's 1533-position model. The record is from RNAcentral.
CGUGUAGGCGGGAAGUAAAGUCAGAUGUGAAAUCCCUGGGCUCAACCCAGGAACUGCAUUUGAAACUCACUUUCUUGAGUACCGGAGAGGAAGGUGGAAUACCUGGUGUAGAGGUGAAAUUCGUAGAUAUCAGGUGGAACACCAGUGGCGAAGGCGGCCUUCUGGACGGUAACUGACGCUGAGACGCGAAAGCGUGGGGAGCAAACA